RNAcentral lists this ribosomal RNA (1281 nucleotides) under human metagenome. RNAcentral's name for it is "bacterial LSU rRNA". It matches the Rfam family "Bacterial large subunit ribosomal RNA", at positions 1636 to 2925 of the family's 2925-position model. The record is from RNAcentral.
AGGUACCCGUACCGCAAACGGACACACGUAGUCGGGUUGAAUAUACUAAGGCGCUUGAGUGAUUCACGGUUAAGGAACUAGGCAAAUUGACCCUGUAACUUCGGGAUAAAGGGUCCCAACGAGAGUUGGGCGCAGAGAAUAGGUCCAGGCAACUGUUUAACAAAAACACAGGGCUGUGCAAAAUUGAAAGAUGAAGUAUACAGCCUGACACCUGCCCGGUGCUGGAAGGUUAAGAGGAGAUGUCAUCGCAAGAGAAGCAUUGAAUUGAAGCCCCAGUAAACGGCGGCCGUAACUAUAACGGUCCUAAGGUAGCGAAAUUCCUUGUCGGGUAAGUUCCGACCCGCACGAAUGGUGUAACGAUCUGGGCACUGUCUCAACUACCCGCCCGGCGAAAUUGUAGUACCGGUGAAGAUGCCGGUUACCCGCGACAAGACGGAAAGACCCCAUGGAGCUUUACUGUAGCUUGAUAUUGGGUUUCGGUAAUUUAUGUACAGGAUAGGCGGGAGACUAGGAAGCCAGUACGCCAGUAUUGGUGGAGUCGUCCUUGGGAUACCGCUCUUAAGUUGCUGGAAUUCUAACCUGCGGCCGUGAAUCCGGCCGGGGGACAUUGUCAGGUGGGCAGUUUGACUGGGGCGGUCGCCUCCAAAAGAGUAACGGAGGCGCUCAAAGGUUCGCUCAGCACGGACGGAAACCGUGCUUUUGAGUGUAAACGCAGAAGCGAGCCUGACUGCGAGGGUGACGGCCCGAGCAGAAACGAAAGUUGGAGUUAGUGAUCCGGCGGUAUGUGAAUGGAAAUGCCGUCGCUCAACGGAUAAAAGCUACCCUGGGGAUAACAGGCUGAUCUCCCCCAAGAGUUCACAUCGACGGGGAGGUUUGGCACCUCGAUGUCGGCUCAUCGCAUCCUGGGGCUGAAGUAGGUCCCAAGGGUUGGGCUGUUCGCCCAUUAAAGCGGUACGCGAGCUGGGUUCAGAACGUCGUGAGACAGUUCGGUCCCUAUCUGUCGUGGGCGCAGGAUAUUUGAGGAGCUCUGUCCUUAGUACGAGAGGACCGGGAUGGACGCACCGCUGGUGCACCAGUUGUCACGCCAGUGGCACAGCUGGGCAGCUAAGUGCGGAUCGGAUAAACGCUGAAAGCAUCUAAGCGUGAAGCCGGCUCCAAGAUAAGAUAUCCCAUUCCGUAAGGAAGUAAGACCCCUUGAAGACUACAAGGUUGAUAGGCUGCGUGUGUAAGCGCCGCGAGGCGUUCAGCUUGGCAGUACUAAUAGGUCGAGGGCUUGACCUU